This 172-nucleotide ribosomal RNA is filed under the name Phyllodytes gyrinaethes. RNAcentral describes it as "partial 16S ribosomal RNA". The record is from RNAcentral. Lineage: Eukaryota; Metazoa; Chordata; Amphibia; Anura; Hylidae.
AUGUGAUCUGAGUUCAGACCGGAGCAAUCCAGGUCAGUUUCUAUCUAUGCCGAUGCUUUUUCUAGUACGAAAGGACCCAAAAAGCAUGGCCAAUAUUUUAUGCAAGCCAUUAUUAACAAAACAUGAUUAAACCUUAAUUUUUAUUCAACCCACUUAGACUUUCUAGAUAAGU